AACGAACGCUGGCGGCAGGCCUAAUACAUGCAAGUCGAACGCACCGCAAGGUGAGUGGCAGACGGGUGAGUAACGCGUGGGAAUCUUCCUUGCAGUACGGAAUAACUCCGGGAAACCGGUGCUAAUACCGUAUACGUCCUUCGGGAGAAAGAUUUAUCGCUGCAAGAUGAGCCCGCGUCGGAUUAGCUAGUUGGUGGGGUAAAGGCCUACCAAGGCUACGAUCCGUAGCUGGUCUGAGAGGAUGAUCAGCCACACUGGGACUGAGACACGGCCCAGACUCCUACGGGAGGCAGCAGUAGGGAAUAUUGGACAAUGGGCGCAAGCCUGAUCCAGCCAUGCCGCGUGAGUGAAGUAGGCCUUAGGGUUGUAAAGCUCUUUUGGCGGGGAAGAUAAUGACGGUACCCGCAGAAUAAGCUCCGGCUAACUUCGUGCCAGCAGCCGCGGUAA
RNAcentral lists this ribosomal RNA (447 nucleotides) under uncultured bacterium. RNAcentral's name for it is "partial 16S ribosomal RNA". It matches the Rfam family "Bacterial small subunit ribosomal RNA", at positions 29 to 523 of the family's 1533-position model. The record is from RNAcentral.